Long non-coding RNA from Sinocyclocheilus anshuiensis, 244 nucleotides. RefSeq lists it as uncharacterized. The record is from RefSeq and is a predicted model, not a curated record. NCBI's taxonomy places the organism in Eukaryota, Metazoa, Chordata, Actinopteri, Cypriniformes, Cyprinidae. The transcript has 3 exons.
UAGUUUUUCACAGCAUACUUUAAAACCAAUGUUGACUUAAAUCCACUGUUACGUUCCAACAAUUUAGUCACACCAAGAACAGAAUUUUUCAGUGACAGAACUGGACAAACGGAGCCUUGUGUUUUCUCAAGUACCUCACAAACAGAGAACUGCAUUGCUUCAACAUCUGAAAUGGAAGAACAUUAUCAAGUAGACAACAUGUCAGACACACUUACGAUAGACAAAACUCCCAGCACCAAUGUGG